UGCCAGUGAUAAACUGGAGGAAGGUGGGGAUGACGUCAAGUCAUCAUGGCCCUUACGACCAGGGCUACACACGUGCUACAAUGGCAUAUACAAAGAGAAGCGACCUCGCGAGAGCAAGCGGACCUCAUAAAGUAUGUCGUAGUCCGGAUUGGAGUCUGCAACUCGACUCCAUGAAGUCGGAAUCGCUAGUAAUCGUAGAUCAGAAUGCUACGGUGAAUACGUUCCCGGGCCUUGUACACACCGCCCGUCACACCAUGGGAGUGGGUUGCAAAAGAAGUAGGUAGCUUAACCUUCGGGAGGGCGCUUACCACUUUGUGAUUCAUGACUGGGGUGAAGUCGUAACAAGGUAACCGUAGGGGAACCUGCGGUUGGAUCACCUCCUUA
This 384-nucleotide ribosomal RNA is filed under the name Klebsiella aerogenes. RNAcentral describes it as "bacterial SSU rRNA". It matches the Rfam family "Bacterial small subunit ribosomal RNA", at positions 1150 to 1533 of the family's 1533-position model. RNAcentral also lists the same sequence under 8 other names. Lineage: Bacteria; Pseudomonadati; Pseudomonadota; Gammaproteobacteria; Enterobacterales; Enterobacteriaceae. The record is from RNAcentral.